AGUGAACGCUGGCGGUAGGCCUAACACAUGCAAGUCGAACGGCAGCACAGUAAGAGCUUGCUCUUACGGGUGGCGAGUGGCGGACGGGUGAGGAAUACAUCGGAAUCUACUUUUUCGUGGGGGAUAACGUAGGGAAACUUACGCUAAUACCGCAUACGACCUACGGGUGAAAGCAGGGGAUCUUCGGACCUUGCGCGAUUGAAUGAGCCGAUGUCGGAUUAGCUAGUUGGCGGGGUAAAGGCCCACCAAGGCGACGAUCCGUAGCUGGUCUGAGAGGAUGAUCAGCCACACUGGAACUGAGACACGGUCCAGACUCCUACGGGAGGCAGCAGUGGGGAAUAUUGGACAAUGGGCGCAGGCCUGAUCCAGCCAUACCGCGUGGGUGAAGAAGGCCUUCGGGUUGUAAAGCCCUUUUGUUGGGAAAGAAAAGCAGCAGGUUAAUACCCCGCUGUUCUGACGGUACCAAAAGAAUAAGCACCGGCUAACUUCGUG
RNAcentral lists this ribosomal RNA (492 nucleotides) under uncultured bacterium. RNAcentral describes it as "partial 16S ribosomal RNA". It matches the Rfam family "Bacterial small subunit ribosomal RNA", at positions 29 to 507 of the family's 1533-position model. The record is from RNAcentral.